AGCAGCCGCGGUAAUUCCAGCUCCAAUAGCGUAUAUUAAAGUUGUUGCAGUUAAAAAGCUCGUAGUUGAAUUUCGGGACUAAUAUGUCGGCCGUACUUUGUACGUACUAGCAUUAUUGGUUUCUCCCUUCUGACGAACCACGAUGUCAUUAAUUUGGUGUCGCGGGAAAUCAGGACUGUUACUUUGAAAAAUUAGAGUGUUUAAAGCAAGCUCGCGCUUGAAUACAUUAGCAUGGAAUAAUGAAAUAGGACGUUUGAUUCUAUUUUGUUGGUUUCUAGGAUCGACGUAAUGAUUAAUAGGGAUAGUUGGGGGCAUUAGUAUUCAAUUGUCAGAGGUGAAAUUCUUGGAUUUAUUGAAGACUAACUACUGCGAAAGCAUUUGCCAAGGAUGUUUUCAUUAAUCAAGAACGAAAGUUAGGGGAUCGAAGACGAUCAGAUACCGUCGUAGUCUUAACCAUAAACUAUGCCGACUAGGGAUCGGAUGAUGUUAAUUUUUAAUGACUCAUUCG
RNAcentral lists this ribosomal RNA (508 nucleotides) under uncultured Glomus. RNAcentral describes it as "SSU rRNA". It matches the Rfam family "Eukaryotic small subunit ribosomal RNA", at positions 569 to 1082 of the family's 1831-position model. The record is from RNAcentral. Lineage: Eukaryota; Fungi; Glomeromycota; Glomeromycetes; Glomerales; Glomeraceae.